Long non-coding RNA from Lontra canadensis (Northern American river otter), 1347 nucleotides. RefSeq lists it as uncharacterized. The record is from RefSeq and is a predicted model, not a curated record. The transcript has 5 exons. Lineage: Eukaryota; Metazoa; Chordata; Mammalia; Carnivora; Mustelidae.
CGCUGGACCUUGAGCCCGGGGAGAAGAGAGGCACACGUUCUAUGACCAUGGGACGUCUCAAAAUAGGACCUAAGAGCCACAGUGACUUUGCUUCUUGAAAAGUAACUGGGCGGGGGGAGGGGUACGUGGAGAAAAAGAGAGAAUGUGUGCGGGCGGGAGGCGACCAAAAUCAGAAAGAGGUCCUCGGAGGGAGACUGAAGAAGAAUCCACGUUCCUUGAUAGCAGGACUCCAUUAUUUUUGUAUGUCAAAGUUUUUGACAGAGCCUGGCCCAUAUUCACUCAUUUAUCCUCUCCAUAAAAUUUAUGAAAGAAAGGGUGGAUCCUAUGCAGGAAGGAAGACAUAAGAAGACCCCUUUGCAUUCUUAAAGAUUAUGAAGACUCCAAAGAACUUUUGUGUGUAUGGGUUAUAUCGGCAAUAUUUACCCUAGCAGAAACUGGAAGUAAAAAGUACUGACUUAUUGGAUAAUAACAAUAAAAUAAAAGUAACACAAUUCUAAAAAUAUAUAGCUAUAUUAUCAAAAACAUGAAAAAAACAGGAGAGUAACAUUGUUUUACCAUUUCGCAAACUCGAACGCCUAGGUUAAUGGAAAAGUGCUGGAUUAUCUGCUUCCACGUUGAGUAUGUUGGGAUAAGUCGUUCUGGUUGGAGAAUAUGAAGAACGCCCAGCAUCAUACAGAUUGCUGAAGUGCAAUUUCAGAAGAGAAGUAUGGUCUACUUAUUGAUGCCAUCAGAUAUAAAAUUAAGAGAAAGAAAGGUUCUACAAGUGAACUGGACAGAAGAUGUAUAUGUUGAGGCAGCUAUAGAACUCUUAUUUCUUAACUCAAGCAAAAGACCUGUUAGCCAUCCCCUGAUGGAAACCAGCAAGACCACCCCUCAAGCAAUCAUGACUACUCUUGAGGAAGAGCUCUGGAGGCCCCGAUCACCCCGGGCAGUUUGUGCUCAACCCCCAACUCACACCUGCUCCGUAGGUCCCUGGAGUGACUCAUGGAGUGCCCAGCACUUACUUUUACCUCAUUAUAAUCCUAAAAUCUCUACCCAGGAGGAACACAAACCUCAUUUACAUAAUAUACAAUGCAGGUACAGGCAUGUUUCCUUAAGAUGCUUGCAUCACUGAUGUCUGACUCUGUAUAUGAUGACCAGGCUUCCUGUUCUAAAUAUCCAUCCUACUCCUAAAUAAAAGGAACCCAUUCACAGGGAAUCUUGGCUUUUGAAGUUAUUCCUUGUGAUCUCCUUAUCUGCUGCAGAUAACCUUUGCUUUGUGUGACAGUCCCACCUACCAUAGUUUCUGUGAUUCACCAAGGAGCAAACUCAAGUUCAUUCAGUGACACCAGCAACAUCAGAGAAUCA